GGACGAAAGUCUGACGGAGCAACGCCGCGUGAGUGAUGAAGGUUUUCGGAUCGUAAAGCUCUGUUGUUAGGGAAGAACGAGUGCGAGAGUAACUGCUCGCACCUUGACGGUACCUAACCAGAAAGCUACGGCUAACUACGUGCCAGCAGCCGCGGUAAUACGUAGGUGGCAAGCGUUGUCCGGAAUUAUUGGGCGUAAAGGGCUCGCAGGCGGUUUCUUAAGUCUGAUGUGAAAGCCCCCGGCUUAACCGGGGAGGGUCAUUGGAAACUGGGAAACUUGAGUGCAGAAGAGGAGAGUGGAAUUCCACGUGUAGCGGUGAAAUGCGUAGAGAUGUGGAGGAACACCAGUGGCGAAGGCGACUCUCUGGUCUGUAACUGACGCUGAGGAGCGAAAGCGUGGGGAGCGAACAGGAUUAGAUACCCUGGUAGUCCACGCCGUAAACGAUGAGUGUUAAGUGUUAGGGGGUUUCCGCCCCUUAGUGCUGCAGCUAACGUAUUAAGCACUCCGCCUGGGGAGUACGGUCGCAAGACUGAAACU
RNAcentral lists this ribosomal RNA (537 nucleotides) under uncultured bacterium. RNAcentral's name for it is "bacterial SSU rRNA". It matches the Rfam family "Bacterial small subunit ribosomal RNA", at positions 373 to 901 of the family's 1533-position model. The record is from RNAcentral.